GGGCAAGCUUGUGGAGUGUGGCCCUGCACGGUGCCCCAGAGGUAGAAGGCAGCCACCUAUCCCUUACUGCCUUUCCUGCUUCACUACGUCCUCCCUGCCCAGCAACUUUCCCAAAACUGUUCUAAUAAAUUGAGAAGGAAAGUAAUCCGUGGCUAAGAAUAACCAGCUGCCAGGGAGCAGAAAUGUGAGCCAGCAAGGUGGGUACAGCCUGGCCCCGUGACCUGUGAGUCAGGUCACCUGAUCCCUUUAAGACAUAUACCCACACUCCCUGAGUGUGUACAGCGUGAGCCCAGAGCCGUGAGCAGGAGGAUCCCAGUACCUGUCUCUGCAAAGGCGGCCUGGAAUCCACAGGAGGCUCUGGCACCAGCACUUGUUUUCCCAGUGAGUGGUUGGUCCAGUGCCUGAGAGACGAAGGGAAAGCAAAACUGCUUCCCAUUGGGGACAUGCCUGAGGACGUUGCCUCUAACCUGACUCUCCAUUGGCCCACACGCCUGUGUCUCUGUCACUUGCUUCCCUGGAGAAAGGAGCCAUGGACCUCCUCUUGUAAACUGUGAAGCUGGGGCUCCGCCAGCCCUGGAAGUGGGCCUACUUAGCAGCUCUUCUUUUUCUCAUUUACAAACCACCUCACCACCAGCCUGGGGUUUUGGCAGCUGAUUCGUGGGCGUGAUGAGCAAAUCGAGGCUCCAAGAGAAUAAGGAAGGGCCCAAGGUCUCUUAAAUGGGAAAGCCCAGUCUGAAUGUCAGAUUCCCAGGCUCAAGGUCUUCACCAAAGCACAUACGGAGGGGCCACAGACGAUCCAUUUUACCCUGAGCAAGUCAUCUCACUUAUGAGAUGAACUAAGAUUUCUCUUGCAAGUUGUUGUGAGCACCUGCUGAGUUGAGGUCUGGACUCUACUUACCUCUGAAAGGAAGACAAGAAGAAAACAUUCAGUAAUGAAACCAAGGAAGAAAGCUGUGCACAUGUACAUCUAAUAGGUCGUUCAUUUGCUGCUGCACAGAACUAUCGCAAUAUGACUUAAAUGAGGGGUCAUUCAGAAAACCAACAGCAGAUUCGGGCGCACUGAAGGCGAGAGUUAAAAGGGGACUCAAGGACCAUCCAGUGGGACCUUAUGUUGUCAUGUUAUAG
Molecule: long non-coding RNA, 1125 nt
Organism: Myotis davidii
Lineage: Eukaryota; Metazoa; Chordata; Mammalia; Chiroptera; Vespertilionidae
Exons: 3
Source: RefSeq, a predicted model, not a curated record